This 366-nucleotide ribosomal RNA is filed under the name Priestia flexa. Its description in RNAcentral is "bacterial SSU rRNA". It matches the Rfam family "Bacterial small subunit ribosomal RNA", at positions 75 to 431 of the family's 1533-position model. Lineage: Bacteria; Bacillati; Bacillota; Bacilli; Caryophanales; Bacillaceae. The record is from RNAcentral.
CUUGCUUCUAUGACGUUAGCGGCGGACGGGUGAGUAACACGUGGGCAACCUGCCUGUAAGACUGGGAUAACUCCGGGAAACCGGAGCUAAUACCGGAUAACAUUUUCUCUUGCAUAAGAGAAAAUUGAAAGAUGGUUUCGGCUAUCACUUACAGAUGGGCCCGCGGUGCAUUAGCUAGUUGGUGAGGUAACGGCUCACCAAGGCAACGAUGCAUAGCCGACCUGAGAGGGUGAUCGGCCACACUGGGACUGAGACACGGCCCAGACUCCUACGGGAGGCAGCAGUAGGGAAUCUUCCGCAAUGGACGAAAGUCUGACGGGAGCAACCGCCGCGUGGAGUGAUGAAGGCUUUCGGGUCGUAAAAACU